RNAcentral lists this long non-coding RNA (40911 nucleotides) under Capsella grandiflora. Its description in RNAcentral is "long non-coding RNA (CGRA_LNC001365)". The record is from RNAcentral. Lineage: Eukaryota; Viridiplantae; Streptophyta; Magnoliopsida; Brassicales; Brassicaceae.
GUGGCCGUUGGAUCUAAACUAAAUCCAAAAGAUUUGAGAGAUUAUAAAUUGCAGAAGAAGACGACUAGAGCUCUUGAGUACAAGGGACGAAUUUGGUGAUGAUGAUGGAAGGAGACGCUCGAUAAAUUUUUUCGUCUUAUUUUUUAGGAUUUCUCUGCUCUCUGAUCCAUUACCAAAUUUUUUUCUUUUGUUGUGAUUUGGGUAUUAAAUUUCUUCAAAUUCUAGGGUUCUUCAUAUAUAUUUGUUUCUCCUGGUUUCAAUGGUGAAAGCUUAGAUCUUGAGCUAAGAUUUAAGAAAAUUUCAUCUUUCUUUCUUUCUUUUUUUUUUCAUUCUAAUUCUGGGGGCUUUUUUGUUUUUGUUUUUAUUCAUUCUUUAAACUGUUAAUUGAUUUUGUAAAACUAAUUCAUUUGAGGUUGAUUUAAAAACAAAAGGGGGUUCAAUUGUUUGUUUCUGGGAUCCUUCACCAGAUUAAUGGUGAAUUUUCUAAAGAAGAUAACAAUCAGACUCUUGAAAUGAUGAAGAGACCGAACCCGAGUUGGCCAUGGUGGUUAUUAGGAAGCAGAAAAGAGAAAGAAACUGAAGCUCUUAAGUUUCCUCCUACAAAGAUGAUAACUCGAGCUAAUAGUAAAGGAAGAGUUUAUAAAAGAAAGGAUCUUGAACUUGAGAGCUUCGGUUCGUCUGGCUCUGAAUCUGUAGCUGUUGCUGGUGGUGAUGGACCUGAAUGGUCUGUUGGAUGGACUGAGCCACAUGGACCUGAUUUCCAAAGUGAUGAUGAAGCAGAUGAUGGUGGUUUCUUAGUUCUGGUUCCUUGUUACAGAGCUCUUGUCGAAGGCUCUAGUAAUAAUAACCAGCUCUUGAGUGCUGUCAAGAAUCUACCCAGCGGGUUUCCUCCUGGUAUGAACUGUAAUGAUCACCCCUGAUUUGUGUUUAUUGGUUUGAUAGAUUGGAUAAUGCUUUUGUGUUUGGUGCUCUAUCUUACUUGCUCGGAAUCUUUAUUCAUAUCCAUAUAAUCAUGAGAAUGACAAAAAGUAGUAUGUUUUUUUUUGCGGUUUUGUUUUAGGUUAGUUGCUCUCUUAGAGAGUUACCUUUUGCUAUUUGAUGGCCCUGUGCAAUGAAUGAUCCAUGUUUCUACAUGUUUUGUUUAAAUCCAAAGGUCAAACUUUUCUGAUUCAGUUUGAUUUUCUUUCUAUUGAAUGUACAGAUGGGAAGAAUUACAUGGAGCAAUGGCUUUCAUCUCUGCAGAACCUUUGACCAGGUCUCUUUCCUUUGUAGUUAGUUAGUGGUAGUUUUAGUUUUGUCUAAUUCGUGCUGAAGAAUCAUUUUGGUUUACUACAUUAAUCCUGAACACUCAAAAAAAAAAAGGAGAAAAAAGGGAAAAGAAAAAGAGAGAACAAAAAAAAGAAAGGCGCAAGUAGUUUUAUAAGGUUUAGAUUAAGAUGAUGGGGUUUGCUUACAUUGAUCCUGGAUAUGGAUCAAGCCAAACAAAAAAAAAAAAAAAAAAAAAAAAAAAGAGUAAGAAAAAUGAAGUGUAUGAUUGGAAAAGCUAUGGAGAAGAAGCAGCUUUAGCCUUGACCCUUGAGUGUUCAUAGGAAGAUUGAUUACAUUCAGAGAAAAGAGGGUGGAGAACAAGUUACAUUGAUCCUGGAAAGAAAGGAAUAAGGGUGGAAUAAACAGACAGUGCUUCAAGGAUUCAUAUCAAGAUGCUCAAAUUGAUGGUGUGAAUGGGAUUUAUUAUCCAACUGAGAUGGGAAAUUCAUGUAGAGUCUUUGUAAAUACCAAAAUUAAAAGAAAAAAAAAAGAGUGAUGUAUUUACUCUUUGUCCUGUAUCAUAACCUCCUGAAGGCUGAGGUAGAAGUGAUUGGAGAUUGAUUGUAUUUGUAUGUAAAUAUUAACUACCACUGAUCUUUCUUUUUUGUAUAUAGACAACAGUCCUGCCAUUGUAACUCUCUGUAUUAUAUAUUGAAUUGGGAAAGCAGGAAGAAUUUCUCUAAAUUAUGAAUUUUCAGAUUCUUAGUAAUAAGAAAGAGACAUCAAGUAUGGUGCUUUGGAUCUAUUAGUGUUAUGAUUUCAAGAUUUCUUAAAAGAAACAGAGCACAUCUACAUCGAUGGGUCAGGAGAUUCAGGAUUCUGGGGGUCCAUAUUUUUCGGAAUUUUGGAAGGUAUAUCAUUACGCAUCCACCGUCAAUUAGUAAAAAAUAUCAUUAAGCAGCUAAUGUUGAAUACUUAGUCUUAAAGCAAGCUUUUCAUUGCUUUAAAAUUAAAAUUAAUCAUGGUUAUACUGUAAUACAGUAUUUUCGUACAUAAUGAGGGUAGUUUAGUCAUAUAAUUGGAGGUAGAGACAAAACCGCUGAUGUCGACAGGAGUGAGAAAAGAGAAGUAACGACGCUCUCUGUUUCUCACUUGAGAGCCAAAAAGCUAGCCAGAAAAAGGAAGUAAAAGAAGAAGCUGGAAAAUGAACUUAACUUAAAAGUUCAGCUCAGAUCACAAGCUCCUAGUCUCUCUUAAAUCUUAAAGCUUUGAGUAUUUUUGGAAACAAUGGAGUCCGGGUCGGGUUUGGAUCCGGGUGGUGGUAAUAAGGGUAAAGGAAGUAGCGGUGGUAAUGGCGAGAGAAAGUUCGGUGCUUUCUUGAAGAGAGUAGAACCCUUUUUACCUAGAAAGGAUUUGAAUCCGAGAGACUUAAGAUCUUGGGCCAAAAAAACUGGUUUUGUCUCCGAUUACUCCGGUGAAACCAGCACGAGUACUCGUACCAAGUUUGGUGAAAGCUCUGAUUUUUAUCCGCAAAAAGGUAGAGAUCAAACAGUCCCUCCUGGGUCGUCUCAUAAAACCGAGAUCGACCCCAUUUUGGGACGAAAUAGACCCGAAAUCGAACACGUAACCGGAUCAGCACCCGGUUCUGAGCCCGGGUCUAGAGUAGAGGAAGAGAGGAGACUGAACCGGAAUGAGCCAACGUCGGAGACGGAGUAUGAAGGCGGGAAACUCAAUAAGGAUUUGGAAAAUGGGUUUUACUAUCCAGGCGGUGAGGAAUCAACAGAAGAUAGGCAAUGGCCUAAACCCACUGUGAUGAAGUUCGGUCUUAGAGACAAUCCUGGAUUUGGUUAGUUUUCAAUCUCCGCUUCGUCAACGGUUACAUUUUGUGUUACGUAGAAUAAAGGAACAUUACUUUCAAACACAUGGUAAUGAAAGAAUUUAUUUUUGUUGAAUUUGAAAUUGAAAUGCAGUUCCACUUAUUUAUUACGGUCUACAACACUAUCUGUCACUUGUUGGUUCACUUGUGUUUAUUCCUCUGGUCAUUGUACCAGCCAUGGAUGGUUCCGAUGUAAGCUUCUUCUUCUUCUUCUUCCAUGGAUACUUAACUUGGGAAACUUUGUUGUUUUGUUCUUGAUUAGUGUUUGACCUUUUAUGAUGAUAGAAAGAUACUGCCGCAGUGAUUUCAACAAUGCUGCUUCUUACUGGAGUUACAACUAUACUUCACUCUUAUUUCGGUACUCGGCUUCCGUUGGUUCAAGGAAGCUCCUUUGUUUACUUGGCCCCAGUUUUAGUUAUCAUUAACUCUGAGGAGUUCAGGAACCUCACUGAGCAUGUAUGUUUACAAAUAUAAAUCAGAAAGGAGGGUUUUGAGUUCUUGGAACGUUACGAUAAUCUGGUGUUUCAAUUCCGCGCAGAAAUUUCGGGACACAAUGAGAGAACUACAGGGAGCUAUAAUUGUUGGUUCAUUAUUCCAGUGCAUAUUGGGAUUCAGUGGUCUCAUGUCUCUCUUUCUUAGGUAACUCUAGAAACUGCUGUUUCUUGGUUUAGUUACACCUCACAGAUAUCACAUUUUCUUCUUAAACUCUAUUUUCAGAUUUAUUAAUCCUGUCGUAGUGGCCCCAACUGUAGCUGCAGUAGGAUUAGCAUUCUUUAGCUAUGGAUUUCCGCAAGCCGGUACUUGUGUUGAGAUAAGCGUUCCCUUGGUACUUUUGCUUCUCAUUUUCACUUUGGUAAGAAACUGCCUCAGCUUGAAUAAUAGAAGCAUAUUUCUAUCUCUUUGAUAAAGUAUCUCUUUUCAUCUAACUUCUUUUCAGUAUCUCCGUGGAGUUUCACUCUUUGGGCAUCGCUUAUUCCGAAUUUACGCAGUAUGUGUUUAUCCUUUGUAUACGUGAAGUGUCAAGUUUCAAACCUUUUUUCGAGGAAUCAGGCCUUUGCUUUUGCUAUUAUGUUGCCAGGUGCCACUGAGUGCUCUGAUCGUAUGGACAUAUGCAUUCUUUUUAACUGUUGGUGGGGCAUAUGAUUACAGAGGCUGCAACGCCGACAUACCGAGCUCUAACAUAUUGAUAGAUGAGUGUAAGAAGCAUGCAUAUACUAUGAAGCAUUGCAGAACAGAUGCUUCAAAUGCUUGGAGAACUGCUUCUUGGGUCAGAAUCCCUUACCCAUUUCAAUGGGGAUUUCCAAGUUUUCACAUGAGAACUUCUAUCAUUAUGAUAUUUGUGUCUUUGGUUGCAUCAGUGGAUUCGGUAGGUACUCUUUCCUCGUUGCCAUUCCUUUUUUCCACCCCUAAAGGUGUGAUCUUGCUGUUAAAAUGUUGGUAUUGGUGCACUUGUAGGUUGGAACAUAUCAUUCUGCAUCUAUGUUAGUGAAUGCUAAGCGCCCAACCCGGGGAAUUGUCAGUAGGGGUGUUGCAUUAGAAGGUUUUUGCAGUUUAUUGGCUGGGAUCUGGGGUUCAGGAACCGGAUCAACCACUUUAACUGAAAAUAUUCAUACAAUCAACAUCACCAAGGUGGCUAGCCGAAGAGCUUUGACGAUAGGAGCUAUGUUCUUAAUAGUAUUGUCAUUUUUAGGUAAGCACCAUCCAACGAAUGAUCCAAAGUUUAAAUUAUUUGUCAUAUCAUUUAAUCCAUUUUGUGAAUUUCUUUGAAACUUGACAGGAAAAUUAGGCGCGAUUCUUGCUUCAGUACCACAGGCGUUGGCUGCUUCAGUAUUAUGCUUUAUAUGGGCACUUACAGUGGCUCUAGGUCUAUCGAAUCUCCGAUAUACACAAACAGCAAGCUUUAGGAACAUAACAAUAGUUGGAGUCUCACUGUUUCUUGGAUUAUCCAUCCCUGCUUACUUCCAGCAGUACCAGCCGCUAUCCAGUCUAAUACUACCAAGCUAUUAUCUGCCCUUUGGAGCCGCGUCAAGCGGACCAUUCCAAACGGGUAUCGAGCAAGUAAGCCACUUUCCUUUCAUUGCAUCGAUUGGCAUUUUCUUGGACAAUGAAUGACUGACUCUCUUCUUGCAGCUUGAUUUUGCGAUGAACGCAGUGCUAUCUCUUAAUAUGGUUGUAACCUUUUUAGUGGCUUUUGUACUGGACAACACUGUACCGGGUAGUAAGGAAGAGCGAGGAGUAUAUGUGUGGACAAGAGCCGAGGACAUGGAGAUGGACCCUGAGAUGCAAGAUGAUUACUCAUUGCCAAAAAAGUUUACUCAGAUUUUUGGUUGCAGUUGUUGUUAAGUAGAUGUUUUAGCUCUAAUUUCAGUUUCUUCGAUAUUUUCUUCGAUAUAUAUGGAAGAAAAAUGUUAUCAUGAAAAGAAAGAAUUGCAGGUUUGUGGGUGACAAUCAUCGUAGUGAUAGUCCCCUAUAGUGUUGAGUUUGCGUUUGUGAACCCUAUAAAGAAACUAACUGACAGGAUGAAAACAGAGUAUACAUACACAAAAAUAAUAUAUUUUCCUCAAAAGAAUGAAAUGUUGUUGAUCCGUGUUACUGUUAUAAGCUAUGAUAUUAAAACUUACAAGAGGUGUACAUGCUAGCUUUUUUUUUUGGCUUGGGACCGUAUCUACGCGGUUGAAGAAAAAAGAAAAAAAAAGAAAAAAAGAGUCCUCUAUCAGUACUUGAUGACGUGGUGGCGUAACCAUAGUUCAUACAUGAUCAUGUGAAAUGCGUCAAAUCUGACAGGAGGCGAGUUCCACUGAAAAUGCUUUUGCACCUGCACAAUAACAAAGCCUCAGCUGUCUUGAUGAGCUCACUUUGUAUAGAACGUUGAAGAAAAGGGUGAGAAUUUUACCUUCACCAAGUUGUUAUGUAACGAGACAAACUCAGACUGAGGUAUGUUCUUGAGGAUCUGCUUAAGGUUAUAGACAUCCCGCUCUCUGAGUACAACCGCGAAUUUUCGCCAAUCUAGGAUGUCGUUGAAAGGGAGGUCGUAGUAGUCUGAUAAUAUGACUGUCCAAAGAUAAAAUCGACAGAAUAACAAAAUGCAUUAUUAUUUCAGUUUCUUUGAAGGUAUAGCGUUCUGAUGAGUGCAGAAAGAGUAUAAGAACAUGUACCAGGGAUACAUCCAUAAUGAAUCGAGUCAGUUAUGCGAGCGCUGUUGACUUGAGAACCGCCAGGGCAUAUGCAGAAUUUAGUCCUGUAGAAUCUCUUCUGAUACACUAAAUGCCCUGUAGCCCUGUUAAUUCUGUUGUUUGAUAUAUCAAGUUCUGUAUCGUUUUCCCACACACGGGCAAGUAUUACCCGUAUCUUGGAAUUUCGAUGACCAGCCCAAAAACCAAGGGUUGUCCUGUAACAUCGAAGUUUAACAAAAUUAGUAACAUUGAGGAUGCGACUGAUAAAUCAAGCUACAGAUUGAGAUAAAGAAUGACAAGAAAAUGAGUUAACAAUAAAACUCCACUAUCAAAUUAGUUUAAGAACCUUUAAAAGCCUCUCUCGCCAAUCACAAGAUUCAGCCAUUCUAAAUUAUUUGUAUCCAAGGGGAAUUAAACAGCAAAGCUAUAAACUUUGAAAUACAGAGCAUCUAAUCGAAGAGAGAGGACUAGUGAUAUUUAUCUUCCGACAACUGAAUGCAAAAUGACACGAAGAAAAAAAGACAAGAGGCCUAGUUUACCGAUUUUCAACAUCAUUGCCACCAGCAGGGAGUGCAAAUGGCUGAAGAACUUGAGGCAAAGCAACAUCUUUGUGAGGAAUAAAACCUACAUUGUAGCUCGGUGAGCACACAACCCUAAUUGUAUUCUUAAUCAGAAGCGGAGAUCCCUCGAAUGCUCUAACACCAACGUCGUGACAGGUGACAAAGAAGUGAUCAGCUCCCAAGGUUCUAUUCCAAUAAGGGUACUUAGCUAUCAAUCCAUCAACAUAAUCUUGAACAAUCACAGUCAUGUUUUCAUAUGAUGUUCCCUGCAACAAAACACCAUCAAAUCAAUCAUCAUCAAAAAUUGCCCCAAAAAAUCAGAGCUAAUUCCCAAAUUUCAUCUUUCUAAAUCCUAAUAUCAUGGAAUUGCAAUUAUCAGUGGAUCGAAGUCUGAAAAAAUCUUACUUUGCCUCGCAUCUUGUGACAAGAGAUUGGAAUGAAGAAGAGAUCCGCCUCAUCUGGAUCUAGGGUUCGAAAUCGGCUCUCUCUAAUGUUCUGAAAGAAGUAACCCUCACUAGCAUAUUUACCGGUCACUUUCCUCGGCGUCUGAUAAAACGUGUUUGGAUCGCCGUCGGGAUAAAUAUAAACCUUGAAUCUCUUCUCCAUCUCGGCGUAAUUCAGUCGGAAAGCUUCCGGCGAGUGAUAAACAUCGGAAUAAUUUUCUUCUUCCGCCGUCGGUGCUGCGCCUUCGUCGUUGUUAUCGGUAUUACCUUCCUUCGCAAAGGUCUGAGGAACAUGAAUCGGCGUUACAACGACCGGAGACGGCGGCGAAGUGCGCAAGGAAUUGAGAGAGAGGUAGAAAAGGGAAACGAAAGUGAGAACAGCGACGGUGAGGAGUGAGCCUUUGAGUGAACAUAACGGCGAAGAUCCGCCGCCGGAGAACUGCGACGGUUUAACGAUCGUCAUCGUCGGGUCGGAUCUAAAGCUCUUUCAGAUUGAAUCAAUCAAUCUCUCUGCAUUUAGCUCUUUUAGCUGUCUUUUGUGUGUGAGCUCACAUGCUUAUUUUUGUGGGUUUUUUUUUUUUUUACUUUAAACUAUUUUUAUAUUAUUGUGUCUUAAUUCUCUUACUCAUAUUAUUUUUGUUUAUGAAUCAAUCAAUUUGUUUUAAUAGGUUUAAAAAAAUAUAAUUACGAUAAAUUUCUGAUUGCAAUCUGGACUAAUCAAUCAAUUAGGUUUUUUUUUUACUUCUUUUACAUUUGUGUUUGGAUAUUGGCUAUUUCAUGGUUAUUAAUCUUUACCAUAAGAAUGUUUUUAAAAAAUAAAAAUAAACAGAAAAGUGUGUUAUGGACUAGACCAUUCUGUUGUUGAAACAAAAUCAUCUAGUAUAAUUAUGUACGGAUUCUAAAUACUACAAUCAUACAAUUAUUUACAUUUUCAAAUUGUUUGUCACCUCAUUUAGUUCAUGCAUCCAAUACGAACGUUACAACUUUGUGUAUGCAUUAUGUAACAAAAAAAAAAAGACGAUAAAAGAAACAUUCUUAAGAAAAAUUAUAACUUAAAAAAAUUUUUUUUUAACUUUUUCUGUGUUAAAGGAAAAUUUAAUAAUUAAUAAUUGUUUCAUUAGGAAAACCUCCACUUAAAUUUUUUCAUUAGGAAAACUUCCACUUUUUAUAUACAUGUACCUCCGUAUAAAAAAAAGGAAAUUUCAGAAACUAAAUCUUUUUACGUAAUCUUUGUAUGAAUCUAAGUCGCCAUAUUAGAUUAAUUUCUAAUGUUGAUCAGAAGUCAAAGUAACUCCUAGUUAGGUUUUGGUGCACCUAUCUAUUCCCGUUUAGUCUUGGACUUUGUUUAACAAAUUAAAACCCACACACUCGCAUAUAUAAAUAUGCAUACAAGCAAAGAUCUUUUUCCUUAGUUUCUUUACGUUAAUUAUUUAUAUCGAUCUGAAGAUUUUGAAAGAAAGAAAGAUGGCUUCGCAGAAGAAGAAGAAGAUAGCUUCCUUAGUUUUUUGUUUCCUUCUGUUGUUUCUUCUUCCAAUCGCCUUUUCUAAGCCAACAAGGUCAGUUUAUUUCACUGUUCUUCAUAUGUUACAGCCAAACAUGUAUAUACAUGUGUUGUUUCUCAAUUCUCAUACAUAUUUCGUUGUUUUUUUUGUUUGCUAAGCAUGUGAUUCUCGUGUGAGUUUCGUAGAUAUUUUAGAUUUUGACUCAGAAAAUUUGAUUACCAGAAAGACUCUUUGGAUGCAUAAAAAAAAGAUGUAUUACGUGUGUAUAUAUAUGCUCUUAGCUUGGAUUUGUGUAGUAACUUGUAAGAGUCGAUCUUGUUUUUUAAGGUUACAAUUUCUUAUAUAUAUCAUAACAUUAGAAACAAAUUCAAACCUCCCUCUUUGCGUUAGAGUUAACUUAAAUUAAUUUUUUGUAUGUACACUAAGGGUAAUGCAUUGACUCUAUUUAUGCAUAACUGUUAAUUUGUUAUGAUUCUUCAGGAACUUGGAUGGAAGAGCUCCAACAGUGCAGCAGAUUAAAAACAGACAUGGGACUCGAGAGGUAUGGAUUUAAUGAUGAUAUACAAUAUUUUUCUUGAUCAGUAAUCAAAAGAUUAUAUAUAUGCUAAUAAUAAUGUUUGGAUUAUAUAUGCUAAUGUUUUGUAUAUAAAAAAAAAAAAACUAAACCUAGGUGAUAGUGGACAAUGGGAUUAUCAGAGUCAGUUUCUCAAGCCCUGAAGGACUUGUAACUGGGAUCAAAUACAAAGGGAUCGAUAAUGUUCUCUCUCCACAUCUCCGAGCUCGAGGGUGAUUAAUUUUUCAAUAAACUAGUACUACUUAGUAAUUAAUUAAUUUUAUUAUUAUAUAACAAAAGCUUAUGUUAUAUAUACAAGUACAUAAACUUGUCCUGGUUUAAUUAAUUUGAUUUAAUGUAGGUAUUGGGACAUAAUGUGGCAAGGAGAAAACAUUCGCCAGGGCGGCUUAGAUCGGUAAUUAACUACAGUUUAGUUAAUACUUUGUCUGUUUUGUCAGUUCAAAACUAAUUAACAAAACAAAACACACGUUCACAAUUAUAGAGCAUGUACUUAUAUUAGGGUUUAUAAAUUAUUAUUUUCAUGGUAAUUGUUAUGUCUGGCUAAAUCCUUUUAAUUUUAUACACAUUUAUCUGGGUAUAUUUUUUUGGGUUCAGAAUCGAAGGAACCAAAUUUAGAAUCAUCACUCAAACGGAAGAACAAGUGGAGAUUUCGUUCUCUAGAACAUGGGAGGGUGUUGGUUCUGAUCAUAUUCCAUUAAACGUAGACAAGAGGUAUAUCAUACGUGCAAAUACUUCAGGAUUCUACACUUAUGGAAUCUUCGAGAGACUUCCCGAGUGGCCAGAACUCGAGAUGGGUUUAAUUCGAAUCGCUUUCAAACUCAACCCAGAGAGGUAUCAUCUUAUGUCAUUCCAGUACUGUAGUGUUUUAUUAUAUAUAUACAAGAAGAAAGUUUAUCUAAACUGUAGCAAAAUGUAUUUGUAAGAUUCCAUUACAUGGUGGUGGCGGAUGAUCGGCAAAGAGAAAUGCCAACGGAGGAUGACCGUGACAUCAAUCGUGGCCAUGCCAAGGCUCUUGCUUAUAAAGAGGCUGUACAAUUGACUCAUCCUCACAACUCGAUGUUCAAAAACCAGGUUAACUAUUCGUUAUCCAUAUACAAUAUUUGCAUAUUUUCUAAAGUUACAUGUUAAAUUGUUCUUGCACCCGAGUCUUGAUUGUUAAUUUGAAUAUGAUAUUUAAUUAGGUGGAUGACAAGUACCAGUACACAUGUGAGAUCAAAGACAACAAGGUGCACGGUUGGAUCUCACCCAAGUCCAAUGUCGGCUUUUGGAUCAUCUCACCGAGCGGCGAAUAUCGCUCCGGUGGACCGAUCAAACAAGAGCUAACGUCUCACGUCGGUCCUACUGCCAUAUCGGUAAGGAGAUCCACCCAAAGCCAAUCAGCAAAAAGAAUAUUACAUUUUAAGUAAAUAGUAUUAAUCUUUAGUUAAUAUAUGUAGACAUUUAUAAGCGGACAUUAUGUUGGUGCGGACAUGAAGACACAUUACGAAACUGGUGAAGCGUGGAAAAAGGUCUUGGGUCCUAUUUUUAUUUACUUAAACUCUGACGACUCUACCGGCAAUGAUCCACGACAUCUAUUAUGGGAAGAUGCCAAACAACAGGUUAAUAUAUAAUUUUUUUUUUUGGUAAAACAUGUGAAGAAUAUAUAGCAUUUAUUUUCCAUAAAUUAUAAGUAAUUUACAAAGAAGAGACGCUAAUUUUUUUUUGUUAUAUUAAUUUUCCAGUCCGAAAAAGAAGUCAAAGCCUGGCCGUACGAUUUUGUAGCAUCCUCUGACUUUCCUACUCGUCAAGAAAGAGGAACCGUCACUGGUCGUCUCCUAGUCAACGACAGGUAUUAAUUAUUCUUUAAACACAAAUCCAACUUUUAUUUAUUUUUAUCUUUUUGAUUGAUUGAUACAGUAUUUAUCUUUAAUUUUUGACAAAAAAAAUUUUUUUUAGAUUCUUGACGUCGGGAGGAUCUGCAUAUGUCGGUUUAGCACCACCGGGAGAAGCUGGUUCGUGGCAGACAAAUACUAAGGUUUGUUAUUAGUUAUUACACUUUGGUCUAUCUUCUUUGAACUUUAAUGUAAUUUACUGAAUAAUCGAUUGCAUGUACACUGUUGAUUGUUGAUUCUUUCUUCAGGGAUAUCAAUUUUGGACAAAGACUGACGAAACCGGUUACUUCACGAUUGAUAACGUUAGACCGGGAACUUACAAUCUGUAUGGAUGGGUUCCUGGUUUUAUCGGGGACUUUCGAUACCAAAACCGUGUUGACGUAGCUGCAGGUUCAGAGAUUAGUCUUGGUAGAGUUGUGUACGAGCCACCUAGGAACGGUCCGACGUUAUGGGAGAUUGGUGUACCAGAUCGAACCGCCCGAGAAUACUUUGUACCAGAGCCAUACAAGACUACAAUGAACCCAUACCUAAACCACACUGACAAGUAAAGUCUCUAAAUCUCUUAAAUCCAGUUCACAAACCCGGUUUGGGGUCUGAUAGUGUUCCGGUUUGAUUUUUAACAGGUUUAGGCAGUACGGCUUGUGGCAACGAUACACAGAGUUGUAUCCAAAUCAUGACCUCGUCUACACAAUUGGAGCUAGUAACUAUAGUCAGGACUGGUUCUACGCUCAUGUCACAAGGUUAGAAGUUACAUUAAUACAAAAAAAGUCUGAAACUUUCAGUGAAUUCUUGAAUAGACAUUAAUUUUGAUUCGCUUGUUCUGCAGGAACACCGGCGAUUUAACUUACGCACCAACGACAUGGCAGAUAGUGUUUCAGCUUCCAUACGUAAACUGGGGAGGCAGCUACACAUUGCAGUUAGCUUUAGCCUCGGCGUCACGGGCUAAUUUACAAGUUCGGAUCAAUAACCAAAACUCGUGGCCGUUGUUCUCAACAGGUAAUAUUGGAAAAGACAAUGCUAUAGCAAGACACGGAAUCCAUGGCAUGUACCGGCUUUAUAGCAUCAGUGUGCCUGGAAGGUUGCUAAGAACCGGAACCAACACGAUUUAUCUUCGACAAGCUAAAGCACAAGGACCAUUUGAAGGUCUUAUGUAUGAUUACAUUCGUCUAGAAGAGCCUUCUAGAGAUUAGAAUCAUAUAGUCAUUAGUCGUUAGGACUUGGUUUUUCCUUUUUUUUUUUUUUAACACUAUGGUUAGGAGAUUAUAGUUGUAUAGAUCAAAAGGAUUUUUGAGAUUUACUGACUUUAUUCUAUUUUUAAAAUAUUUUUUAAGAAAUUGAUUUGAAUUUUGAUUGUUAUGAUUAGCACUACUUAACAACAUUAUAAGAUUGAUAAAUGUUCAAGCUUAUAUGUGGUUUUCAAAAACCGGAACAAGAUUGAAGCAUGAACAAGAAAAUGCCACCAGCAACAGAGACGUUAAGAGAUUCAAAUUCACCUGCCAUGGGAAUGCUCACAAGCUCGCAUACUUUCCGUGACUGCUCAGACAAACCAUUCCCUUCACUACCUAAAAUCAAGCAUAAAGGCUUCCCUGCUACAGACUGAGCAAACUCUUGGGAAAGUCUGGACAGGGGUUUUGGUUUCUGAGUCGUAGUUGAUGGAUGACCAGCUAAUAGUUUCAUCUGGAACUCAUGUUCUAGAAGCUUAAGGUGGUUCCAGUUGCCGGAAACUAUAGGCAGUUGAAACGAAGCACCUCGGCUUGCUCGAAGAGCUUUGUCGUUGAACGGAUCGCAGCAACCAGGAAGCAGAAAUGCACCAUCCUAUCAUAAACAUUAGCCAGAGUAAGAUGAUUCUCUCAUUAGAGAUUUAUCUCCAAAUCAACAGCUAAUGAACUGAGAAGAAAGGCUGAUCAUUUAUACCCAAUUAAAAGCCAUAGCUGAUCUGAUUAAUGUGCCAAGGUUCCCCGGGUCCUGUAUGCUGUCAAGAACAAGAACUCGGUGAGCAGAAGGGAACCAUUUACUGCAGUCUCUUACGAUGUCUUGAUCAUCUUUAAGAUCAACGAAGCUGCUAGGGAUUCUCAUCAGGGCAAUGGCUUCAACAGAUUCAGUAGAUUGCACUCCAGAGAGUUUCUUCAUCACCAAAGAACUUACUCGAACAAUUCGGAUACUUAGACUCUCUAAUCCUUGUGGAACCUGAGAUUCCUCGUGGAGAAGUAGACACUCAAUUUCAGUUGUGAUUCCUAGCUUAUUCUCUUGAAAGAUACAUACUUCCCUGUGAACAAUGCAUUAAAGUUAUCUCCUUUGAACCCAUUUUCACAAGAAACAAAUCAAACACAAAAUGAAGUAAAAAAAGUAGACUACUUCCCUCAGUCAUCUUAGUAUAAAUCAAGAAACAGAGAGUACAAGGUCACUGAUAUACAUACCUAAUUGGGAUAGCUCCGACGACAAGAACAGAGCCAUGAGCGUGGCGAUAAGAGGAGCUUUGGCGGAGCUUCAGACAGUGUUUGACAAAAGGGUUUGAAGUGCUGGUAAUGGAAUUCACAUGAGACGGCAGCGAAACUCUAAUCUCCGGAGACUUAUCUAAACUGUUAAUAAGAAUAUCAUCUGAAGGGUUUAUCCGAAUUUGGGUUUUUGGAAAUUGAGCUGACGAAGCUCGAAGCUUUGAAACUGAAGGUCUGAACUCAAAUAAGAUACGUGGUGACAGAGGUUGUGAAGCGAAAGCACAUCCGCAAUGCAUUGCCGUUUGCAACUAAUCCGAUUUCUCUUCUUCUCCGGUGAAGCCAAGGCGGAGAAGAUGACUAAAAGGCCUUAGAGUUUCAUAUUUCGUACAAAAGCCCAAUAUAUUAAAAAGAGUUAGGCCCAGUAAAAAGCCCAUUAAGCGAUCGUUUUAACGGUAAACUCUCUUCGUCAUUCUCUGGUUCUACCUUCGCUUCUUCUUCAUCUAUGAAUCUGCAAAUUUGGUUCUUUCGUGUUUGUUCUGUGAAUCCAACUCGUUUUACAAAUGUGGAUUAACAUAAUUGUUUGAUGAUCACUAUAUGCGGCCGAAUUUGUGAUGCAUUUAACGGAGAAAUCAGUUCUUCUGGAAUUGAUCAGCCGAUGCAGCUCCCUUCGUGUUUUCAAACAGAUACAGACUCAAUUGAUUUCUCGUGAUGUUAUUCGUGAUGACAUAGUCGUCAACAAAGUCGUCACCUUUCUGGGCAAAUCCGCAGAUUUUGCAUCUUACAGCUGUGUAAUUCUCCACAGUAUCCGUUCUGUGUUGAGCUCGUUUCCAUACAAUACACUUUUAUCGAGCUACGCAGUCUGCGAUAAACCAAGAGUGACGAUUCUUGUUUACAGAACAUUUGUGAGUAACGGCUUUUCACCGGACAUGUUCACGUUUCCUCCAGUUUUCAAGGCAUGUGGGAAGUUUUCAGGGAUCGGAGAAGGGAAGCAGAUUCAUGGAAUCGUCACGAAGAUGGGGUUUUCAGAUGAUAUCUAUGUGCAAAACUCGCUUGUUCAUCUGUAUGGAGUGUGCGGGAAUUCAAGGUAUGCAUGUAAAGUGUUCGAUCAAAUGCCUGUGAGAGAUGUAGUUUCAUGGACUGGUAUUAUAACUGGUUUCACGAGGACUGGGUUGUAUAAGGAAGCUUUAGAUACGUUUUCAAGGAUGGAUGUUGAGCCUAAUUUGGCUACAUAUGUUUGUGCGUUGGUCUCGAGUGGGCGGGUAGGGUGUUUAAGUUUAGGGCAAGGAAUCCAUGGAUUGAUUUUAAAAAGGGCAUCUUUGAUCAGCUUAGAGACUGGUAAUGCUCUUAUAGAUAUGUAUGUGAAAUGUGACAAAUUGUCUGAUGCGAUGAGAGUUUUUGGUGAAUUGCAAAAGAAAGAUAAAGUUUCUUGGAAUAGUAUGAUUAGUGGGUUAGUUCAAUGUAAAAUGCCUAACGAGGCGAUUGAAUUGUUUUCUCGGAUGCAAACGUCUUCGAGUAUAAAGCCAGAUGGGCAUAUACUUACAAGUGUUCUCUCUGCUUGUGCUAGCUCGGGAGCUGUGGAUUACGGAAGAUGGGUUCAUGAAUAUGUUGUAAGCGCUGGAAUUAAAUGGGAUACAUAUAUUGGAACUGCUAUUGUUGAUAUGUAUGCAAAAUGUGGCUGCAUCGAAACAUCUUUGGAGAUUUUCAAGGGAAUCAGAAGUAAGAAUGUCUCUACUUGGAAUGCUCUGUUAGGUGGUUUAGCUAUCCAUGGACAUGGACAUGAGUCCCUCCAAUAUUUCGAAGAAAUGGUUGACCUCGGUUUUAAACCGAACCAGGUAACUUUUCUUGCGGUUUUAAACGCGUGUUGCCACACGGGUUUAGUGGAUGAAGGGAGAAAAUAUUUCCAUAAGAUGAAAACCAGAAAGUACAAUCUAUCUCCUAAGCUAGAGCAUUAUGGAUGCUUAAUUGAUUUGCUCUGUAGAGCUGGAUUAAUAGAUGAAGCACUAGACCUCGUUAAAGCAAUGCCGGUUAAACCAGAUGUGCGUAUAUGCGGAGCAAUUCUUAGUGCCUGUAAGAGUAGAGGGACAUUAAUGGAGCUUCCUAAAGAGAUAUUGGAUAGUUUCUUAGAGAUGGAGUUUGAGGAUAGUGGCGUUUAUGUGCUUCUGUCUAACAUUUUUGCUGCUAAUAAAAGAUGGGAUGAUGUUUCGAGAAUUAGGAGGUUGAUGAAGGUAAGAGGUAUCUCGAAGGUUCCAGGAUCAAGUGCUAUAGAGAAGUUCAUGGCAUAGAACAAUGAUGAUGAAAUUAUGAUGUAUGAAUAACAUGACCACCAGAUACGAGAAUGCCUUACAAUACAUACAUAACAGAGUUCAUGAGUUUCUCGCAUGUCUCUCUGCCCAAAGCUGAACUUGUCUUCUUCUACUUCACGUUUAUCUCGCUUCUUCACCUUAUUAUAUGUAUAUAAUAUUAUAAUUAUAAUUUUUAUGCAGUUACAUUGUACAUGAUUAUUUUCACAGAAAUCAUCCCUUUUUUUGGGUUAAAAUCACAGAAAUUCUUGAUUUAUCAUUUUCUGAAGAAUGAUUAAAAUUCAAAAGUUCAUUUUUUUAUUUGCUAGGAAAUUAAGCAAUUUAUUAUGCUAAAAAUUACAAGAAAGAGAAAAGGAUUAAUACUAGGGUUUUUCAUCCAUAGCUUCUGCAUGCUAGCUACAAAUAUUAGAGACUAAUAAUGGUAAAUUACAGUGAUAAUUAGAGCAUAGCAUUAUUAUUAGCAUUAUGGUACCAGUUUCCCAUAUUGCCCUCACCAUUACCAUUAUCUUCAUGACUGCCACUGUUUGCUCCUCCUCCCAUGGCGGAUCUAUCGAAAACCCAAUCCGUCGUAGCCGUUGGCGGAGGAAUCAACUCUACGUUCUGAAACAUAACCGGUUUCUCGUUAACCGGGAGAGAAUCUUGGUGAAACAUGGAAGUGACGAGUCUCUGUUGUUGAAGCUUCUGGUGCAAAUCUUGGUUAAAGGAACUCAAAGACUCGAUGGAAGAAGAUGACGCAAGGUUGUAGUUAGGGUCCAACGGAAACAUGUAGCCGGAGAAUCCACCGGAACUCAUCAUCAUCAUCGCCGUCGAAGGAUGGUUUCUUACAAGCUCGCGAGACAACGAUGGCGUCACGUUCGAGAACAAAGGAGGAGAAGAGAUGACGUGGAGGGUGCAAGGCUUGUUCUUGUUUCGGGUCGAGCCACCGAUGGGGACGUUACGGAGGGCGCCUCCACGUGUCCAGUAACGUCGACAGUUCUUGCAGUAGUGACGUGGCUGAGACAAGCUGUAGUUGUUGUAGUAGCAGAAUUUGGUGUUGACUGAAUCACAUCUCGGACACUUCAGAACCGGCUGCGUCGCUGGAGACGUCGGUUCUCUGUUAUUGCUCUGACGUGGUGGCUUCGUCAUCGUCUUGAUCCUGCGUGGUUUGAAGCUGGAGGUGUUGCUUUGAUGGGCUGACGUCAUCAUGAUAUGGGGCAAGAGAGGGGAGAUGCGUUCUUGUGAUUUCUAUGAAUCUUCAUAUGUAUAUAUAUGAACGCAUUGACGUAUAUAAAGUACAUAUAUAUAUAUAACAUGUACAUGCAUGCUUAUUGUAUAGUAUGUGUAUUUAAAACUUUUUCUUAAACUGAAUGUGUAUAUUUUAUAAUUAAUUUUCUUUGACAUCAUAUAUAAUGGUAUCUGCCUAGGAAUGUGUUAUUCAACUAGUUUUGUUGUAUAUAUCGCCACUAGUACGCAAUUUAGGCGUUAGCAUCAAUCGCUAGGUGAAAAAAGCGUGACCGUCCCUGACUAAUUGUGAAAUAGCCAGAGAUUGAAUCUUCUGGCAAAGAAAAAAGUUUCUGGCUAGGUUCAGUUUCUUUAGUAUUAAUUACGAUUAAUUAACAACAUAUAUAGAUUAGAUUUUUUAUUGUUAUAGUAAGGGUGUAACAGUGAGCACCAAACUCAACUCAUAUCAGAUUUGUUGCAGUGGGUUCUAUAGUUGUUAAGAAAUAUUUAAGCUGUUCCUCUAGAUGAAUAAUUCACCAAUUAUAAAUAAAUGCCUAAAUUGAUACAUCCAGUUUUAGAAUAUUACACCACUAUAUGAUUUACAUAUAUAGUUACUAGGAAACAAUUUACAUAUAUAGUUAAAUGUGGUAAACUCAUUUGGUCGAGCAAAGAUUGCCUUCAGAAACAUGUUCCUAAGUUUUGAGUUAUCAAAUGGAGAUAAAUGAUAAAUUACGCAUUCUUAUAUAUGGUAGAAGCGAAAAAUCUCUUGUAUUAUGUAAUAUUCAGACAAGACAGGAUAAGAUCGACCUAGGGAAGAGAGAGUGAAGGAGAGAUGAGUGGUAAAAGGUACGAGGUAAAGAAAGAGANNNNNNNNNNNNNNNNNNNNNNNNNNNNNNNNNNNNNNNNNNNNNNNNNNNNNNNNNNNNNNNNNNNNNNNNNNNNNNNNNNNNNNNNNNNNNNNNNNNNNNNNNNNNNNNNNNNNNNNNNNNNNNNNNNNNNNNNNNNNNNNNNNNNNNNNNNNNNNNNNNNNNNNNNNNNNNNNNNNNNNNNNNNNNNNNNNNNNNNNNNNNNNNNNNNNNNNNNNNNNNNNNNNNNNNNNNNNNNNNNNNNNNNNNNNNNNNNNNNNNNNNNNNNNNNNNNNNNNNNNNNNNNNNNNNNNNNNNNNNNNNNNNNNNNNNNNNNNNNNNNNNNNNNNNNNNNNNNNNNNNNNNNNNNNNNNNNNNNNNNNNNNNNNNNNNNNNNNNNNNNNNNNNNNNNNNNNNNNNNNNNNNNNNNNNNNNNNNNNNNNNNNNNNNNNNNNNNNNNNNNNNNNNNNNNNNNNNNNNNNNNNNNNNNNNNNNNNNNNNNNNNNNNNNNNNNNNNNNNNNNNNNNNNNNNNNNNNNNNNNNNNNNNNNNNNNNNNNNNNNNNNNNNNNNNNNNNNNNNNNNNNNNNNNNNNNNNNNNNNNNNNNNNNNNNNNNNNNNNNNNNNNNNNNNNNNNNNNNNNNNNNNNNNNNNNNNNNNNNNNNNNNNNNNNNNNNNNNNNNNNNNNNNNNNNNNNNNNNNNNNNNNNNNNNNNNNNNNNNNNNNNNNNNNNNNNNNNNNNNNNNNNNNNNNNNNNNNNNNNNNNNNNNNNNNNNNNNNNNNNNNNNNNNNNNNNNNNNNNNNNNNNNNNNNNNNNNNNNNNNNNNNNNNNNNNNNNNNNNNNNNNNNNNNNNNNNNNNNNNNNNNNNNNNNNNNNNNNNNNNNNNNNNNNNNNNNNNNNNNNNNNNNNNNNNNNNNNNNNNNNNNNNNNNNNNNNNNNNNNNNNNNNNNNNNNNNNNNNNNNNNNNNNNNNNNNNNNNNNNNNNNNNNNCAACACGAAACUUAAAUAUAUUACGACAAACCAAACAAGCAAGAAAAAGCUUUGGGAAAUUUGAUUCUCAAGACUUAUAAAUUAGGGGUAGGCUUCAAAGUGUUGGCAACAUCAAUCACAAAUCGGUAUCUAACGUCGGCCUUCUCGAGCCGUUCCAUGGCGGUGUUGACAUAAUCCGCAGAGAUAAGCUCAAUAUCCGCGGUGAUGUUAUGUUCUGCGGCCAUAUCCAUCAUCUCCUGAGUCUCUUUUAUCCCUCCUAUCAUGCUUCCCACUACCAUUUUCCUCUCUACACAUACAAAAUAGCAAAACCACCAAAACAAUUUUUUUUUAAAAAUUGAUGUCAUUCUCGCGGUUCACUGACUUAACACUACAAAUUUAACACACGGAUUAGUUUGUUACUACAAAUAAAGAUUACCAAAGAUGAGAGGCAAGACCGGUAGCUCGAGUGGCUUCACCGGUGCACCAACCAUAACAAGUAUUCCCUUAUGCUUCAGCAAACCGAGCAAUGGAAGAAGCGGAUGAGUCGCAGAUACAGUAUCAAUUAUACCAUCCAUAGUCCCCAUUGCAUCCUUAAUCUGCUUCGGGUCACGGCUCACCAAGAAGGUAUCCGCACCAAGCCGAUUAAUCGCCUCGUCUCUCUUACCCUCAGAAGUACUGAUAACCGUAACUUUGCAACCCAUAGCCUUGGCAAAUUUAACUCCUACAUGACCCAAACCGCCUAGUCCUACCACACCGAUGUGCAUACCAGGUUUGUCAAGCCCGUGAUACUUCAUAGGGGAAUAGACCGUGAUCCCGGCGCAGAGGAGCGGCGCGGCAGCGUCCAUUGGGAGAUUGUCGGGAAUACGGAUGACAAAACCUUCAUCGCAAACCAUGUGGUCCGAGUAACCACCACAUGUUAUGGUGCCGUCAUAAUACUUAAACCCGUACGUUUGGAUCAAUUUCGGACAGUAGUUUUCCAUGCCUUCGGUGCAUCUGUCACAUGACCCGCACGAGCCGACCAAGCACCCAACUCCGACUUUGUCUCCGGUUUUGAAUUUAGUUACUUUGGCUCCUACUUCAGUCACCACGCCGACGAUCUCAUGCCUGGAAAAACAAGAGGAUAAAUAAACAUUCUUUACUCGUUCAAAAUGACCAUAAAAAAAUUUCAGGAUCUCUCAUCCAAGAAUCCUUCGAAAUAAAUUUGGUAAUAUAUAUAUUGAUAUUAAUUACGUACCCAGGGACAAGGGGAUAUUUUGACAUUCCCCACUCGUUCUUGACCAUAUGCAAAUCACUGUGACAAAUUCCACAGAAUAACACUUGGAACCUUACAUCCUUUUCUCCUGUUUCCCUACACAAUACAUUAAUUAUUUCCACCAAAACUUUAUAAUUAGGUUCAAUAAUUACAUUGAAACCAAACUGAUAGAGAGAUAAAAAAAAAAAAAAAACAAUUUUGAAACCUUCUAGAGAAACGGAAAAGCGAGAGAACUCCCGAAUUGUCAUUUGCGGCCAAUCCGAACGCCUCUUUCUCGAGAACCUUUCCCAUACUCGAGAUCAAAAUUACAACAAUAAGAUUGAGAGAAUUGGAUUCGAACACAAAUAAGUGUCUCGUUUGUUUCUUUUUCUUUUUAGUUUAAACUUAAUGUCACUUACAGUUGAGAAGUUUGAGAUGAUAAGAAGGUUUAGACAAAUGCCUUAAUAUAGGAAAUGACUGAUGAGGAGGAACCGAUUUGAUUGGAUGCAAUUAGGACCAUGCACUUACUUUCACGAUAUUAGUUUUUUUUUUUUUUUCCACGAGAGUUCCUCACCAACUAGUUCUUUUCUUCCUUUUUUUUUNNNNNNNNNNNNNNNNNNNNNNNNNNNNNNNNNNNNNNNNNNNNNNNNNNNNNNNNNNCAUAUUUUCAGUAUUUAGUGACUAUUAACAUGUUCAGACAAAUAUACACAUACAAUACGUACAUAUAUAACUUUUCUAAACAUUUCAUAAUUUCAUAUGCAUAUACCGCCCAAGAUAUAUGGUUAACGUGUUGAUGAUGGUAAACAGAUUUUUAAAUUUUAACGUGUUCCAAAAAGUUGGGAAUGAACAUUUCAACAAUAUUUUCUAAUUUAUUAUCUCAGCCCACGCCACGUAGUCAUAUUUGGAUAGCACAUUGAUAAUCAAUAGAAGUUUUAAACACCGUCGUUUUGUUUUUGAGGCCACAAAUUAACGUUGUUAAUCUUUUUUUUUUCCGGCCAAUUAUCUAAUUAGAUAAAGAAAGUUUUACAGCGUUUUUACAACGUUGUUAAUAAAUACUCACAAGUCAGUAUAUAAUAUAUUUUACGGACUAUAUAUUAUUUGUUUGGUAUAUAUAUAUUUGAACAUGUCUCAAACUCAACGAUGUAUCUGUUCACGUGUGUACUCACAAGUCCAUAUGAUUCUCAUUGUACGUACUCAUUUCGUCCACGGAACAUAUUCAUAAUAAAACCGUCUUUACACUGCUAAGAUCGGAAAUCAUUGAAUAAUUUCUUAGAUUCAUGCACUUGAUCGAUUGUUACACCCAAAAAAAAAGUAGUUUAUAUUUAAUGCCUCACGUAAUUUGACCAAUAUCUUGCUACUUAAUUUAUAGUAAUCCAUUUAAUUAAAUAAAAGUAUUUCAUUAAGCUUCCACAAACUCAAAUCAUAAAGCUAAUUAAAUAAAAUAUUCAAGUUUAUUAAAUUGAUACAACACAUGCUGUAGUAGUAGUAGUACACACAAAGACGUGAACUUAAUACACAAAACUUAUUACAACAGACCAAACGAGAAAAAAAUGACUUGGGGAUGUUCAAUUCUUAAGCUUUCUAAUUAAGGAGUAGGCUUCAACGUGUUGGCAACAUCAAUCACAAAUCGGUACUUAACGUCAGCCUUAGCGAGUCGUUCCAUGGCAGUGUUGACAUAAUCCGCAGAGAUAAGCUCAAUAUCCGCCGUGAUGUUGUGUUUUCCGGCCAUGUCCAUCAUCUCUUGCGUCUCCUUUAUACCUCCUAUCAUACUUCCCACCACCAUCUUCCUCCCUAUUACACAACCACGUACCAAAAACAUAUUCGCAAUGUUUAAUUAUCAAUAUAAGCUUAAUUGGAAUUAAAAACAUAUCAUGUAAGAUAACAAAGAUGAUUGGCGAAUAGGCUCGUACCGAAGAUGAGAGGCAUGACCGGUAGCUCAAGUGGCUUCUCAGGAGCACCAACCAUAACAAGUUUUCCCUUAUAUUUAAGCAAACCUAGCAGCGGAAGAAGCGGAUGCGUUGCGGAUACGGUAUCAAUUAUACCAUCCAUAGUCCCCACUGCAUCCUCCAUCUGUUUCGGGUCACGGCUCACCAAGAAGGCAUCGGCACCGAGCCGAUUAAUAGCCUCAUCUCUCUUACGAUCCGAAGUACUUAUAACCGUAACUUUAUUACCCAUAGCCUUAGCAAGUUUCACUCCUAUAUGACCCAAACCGCCUAGACCUACCACACCAAUGUGCAUACCCGGCUUGUCGAGGCCGUGAUACUUCAUUGGGGAGUAUACUGUGACCCCCGCACAGAGUAGUGGAGCGGCACCAUCCAAAGGGAGAUUUUCAGGAAUACGGAUGAUAUAAUCCUCAGCACACACCAUGUGGUCGGAGUAACCACCAUGGGUCAUGGUGUCGUCGUAGUCUUUGGCUCCGGCGGUUAGGAUCAUCUUUGGACAGUAAUUCUCUUCGCCAUCGCUGCAGCUGUCACAUGACAGGCACGAGCGGGACAUGUAGCCAACUCCGACUUUGUCUCCAGUGUUGAAUUUGGUCACUUUCGUCCCAACUUCAGUCACCACUCCCACUAUCUCAUGCCUGAACAGUAGUAUAUAUUAAAGCUAUUUCAAUAUUUAAGUAAAUAUAUAGCAUCUCUGUUUUAUUGUUGGAGUAAAGAGAUUUUGUGAUACCCUGGGACGAGAGGAUAAGUAGUAAAGCCCCAUUCGUUUUUGGCCAUGCUCAAAUCAGUGUGGCAAAUUCCACAGAACAACACUUUGAACCUAACAUCCUUUUCUCCAGUCUCCCUACGUACAUACGCAUUGAGUUCCACCAAAAGUUAAUUUCAUUAGAACAAACAAAUUUUAAUCGGAUCAUUAGAGGUUAAUUAAUAUUCGUUAUAAGAGAAAAAGGAAACCUUCUAGAGAAACUGAAAGGUGUGAGAACUCCGGAUUCAUCUUUCGCAGCCAAUCCAAACGCCUCAUUCUCAAGAACCUUGCCCAUCUUGAUAAACAAUAAAAGAUUUAUCUUCGUGACACUAAUAAUUGACAAGUUUCAAUAAAAUGAAUAGCAAAGACGUCGGAUUUUAUACAAAAAGAAAAGGCUUGUAGACCCGAUGAGAAUGAGGACAACUACUCUCAUUAAUAUAAUUUACAGGGACCAUAUUAACCACGUCCACGAGAAUAGAUGGUCCCUAAUGGCUAACUCAAUUUUGUUCUAGUAGCAGUGCGAUGUCGUCAGUCACGGACAGUCAUAUCAGCUCACCGGUUUGAUACUGAUGUGUUCAUAAAUUAUACAGUUGAUUUUUCCUGCUGAAUCGAAGGUAUGGUUUUUUUUCUUUUCUUUUUUCUUUUUUUUUUUGGUAACAAUGUAAAGUAAUCCAAAGCUAUGGUUGUGAUGCAAAGGUCGUUCUCUUAAUUUUACAGUUGUUUUCGUGUAAUAUGGUCCCGAGGUAACAAUUAUUGUACCGAUAGAUACUACCUUCCACAUCAAAAUUUUAAAGAUCUACGCACAUGGAACUUAAUCCAACCACAUGAAAAAAAAAAAAAAAGGAAAUUCAACCGCAUAUGUAAAUAGUACUUGUUUUGGUGUCAAAUUAGGUAUAAGUCCAUCCGUUGGAUAAUAUAUUCAUAUUUAAAACGUGUUUUGCCCUUACGUUCGGUUCAUAUAAUUCAAUAUCCUCAGUACAUCCCUCAAUACAGCUUUUGAAAUUUCUUUCAAAUCAUAAUCACUAGAAUUACAUUCACUUGACCAUACUCCAUUUAUAAAAAGAAAGAAAACAGAUUAUGAUUGAAAUCCAGACUAAAGUUUAUUUGAAUACACAUAUGACAUCAAGUUUAGACAAGAGGAUUAAGUAGCGUUGCCAAAACAAUAUUACGAUCUAGUAGAAGCCAAAGUGUUGGCGAUGUCGAUGACAAAUCUAUAUCUAACAUCCCCUUUCGCGAGUCUAUCCAUGGCAGUGUUCACAUAAUCCAUGGAUAUGAUCUCAGUUUCUGCUUUUACGCCAUGCUCGGCCGCAAAAUCAAUCAUCUCUUGUGUCUCUUUCAUUCCUCCUAUACCACUUCCCGCUACCGAUUUCCUUCCUUGCCGAUUGCAUAAGGGUCUCAUCUCAUCAUACUAGUCAAAUAGUUUAUAUAUGAAAAGUUGAAUAAAUUAACUACUAUAACGGUCUCGUACCUAUGAUUAAGGAAAAUGCAGAUAAAUCAAAUGGCUUCUCGUUUGCACCGAGUAGAACAAGUUUACCGUUGGAUUUGAGUAGUCCAAUUAAAGGUAAAAUCGAAUGCGAUGCAGAAACGGUAUCAAUUAUGCCAUCCAUAGUUCCCAUUGCGGCCUAAUUAGUAACAUAAAUUUAAAACAUGAUAAAAAUAUUUAUAUACAUUUUAUAUGCAUAACAAUAUGGUUGAAUUAAGAUUACCUUCAUUUGGUCUUCAUCAGUACUAACCAAGAACCCAUCAGCUCCAAGAGUUUCAAGAGCAUCCUUACAUUUCCCUGGGGUGGAGCUAACCACCGUGACUCUAGUCCCAAAUGCUUUUGCAAAUCUCACCCCAAUGUGUCCAAGACCACCUAGCCCCACGAUUCCAAUAUGCUUAUCUGGUCCGGCUAAUCCGAAGUACUUCAUAGGGCUGUACACCGAGAUGCCUAUAUAUAUGAUACGUCAUAUUAAUGAAAAUCUUGAUAAUCAAAUAUCAUCAUGUAUUCAUGUUUCAUUUAGAUUUACCUGCACAAAGCAAAGGUGCGGCCGAAGCUAGAGGCAACGUGUGUGGAAUCUUGACGGCGUAACGUUCAUCGACGACGAUGUGGUCAGAGUAUCCACCGUAGUUAAUCGUUCCGUCGUGGUGAGCUCCGUUAUAGGUCGCGACAGCUUUGGCGCAGUAGUUUUCUUGAUCUUCACGACAACUCUCGCACGCGCGGCAGGAAUCUACUAUGCAUCCAACACCAACUCUGUCUCCAAGAUUGAAUUUACUUACUUUGCUCCCUUUCUCACUCACUUCUCCAACAAUCUCAUGCCUGUAGUAAACAACCAUACCACACGUUUAUGUAUUUCCGAACAAUGAGAUUAAACGUUAUAUAUUUUUUUUUUUUUAAAAGUGAGAUUAAUCGUUUAUUUCCUUUUUUCUGCGUUGGGGACUUUUAGCAAAAAUGUAAAUAUUGCUGUACUUAAUUAUAUACCGUUAAUUUUUAAAUUUUAUUUUUGGGUGACAAGAGAACUCUGUAUAAAAUUACGUUGUGCUGCACUUAAUUAAUUAUAUAUCUUCGUAACGUUGAAUUUUGAUCUGUGCGUGUGGAUUUAUUAAUAAUAUAGAAAUCAACUCAAAGUGAAAAAAAAAAAAAAACUCAAAGUGAUGAAUGAUGGUAAUAAUGGAGGUGAGUGGUCACUGGUCAGUUUUGGCAAAACUUAUUUGAAUGUAGUAAUUAAUUUAUCUGCCUAAAUGUUUGUUUUCCAACUUAUUUAUAUAAUCUAGCCGAAAGAAAAGAGCUAAAAGUAUAAGUGCUCCACUAUCAACAGUGAACAAACGAGAAUUUGCCACAUUUCAAUUCCACUCAAUUAUAAUCUUGAUCUCUAAUAAUUUAAGUAAUUUACCAACCAAAUCCACUAUUUUAAUCCUUUCUGAAUCAUAUGGUAAAAUUAUCAUUUCACCUAAUAACUAUAAUCACGAUCGUACUUUAAAUCACCAUACAAGCCAAAUUCGGAUUUCUUUUUUCUUUUAAUCGAAGUUUAUAAUCGUACGGUUAACAAAGAUUUUACGAAAAAAGUGAAGAAAAAUAAAAAAUGCGUACCCAGGAACCAAAGGGUAAAUGGAGGAAUGCCAUUCGUUCUUGAGACAAUGGAGAUCACUAUGACAUAUUCCACAAUACAACACUUUCACUCUCACUUCCUCUGCUCCUGUUUCCCUGCACAUUGCACAUACCAUACCAUACUAUCAUCAAUAUCAUGUAAUCGUUAUGGCUAAAGUAAUCAAUCGGUACAUCAUGCACAUGUGUAAGUACACCACCAUCGCAGAGACAGUACCGUUACCUUCUAGGAAAGACAAAGGGAGAGAGAUGGCCUGAGGAGUCUCUUGCCGCCCAUCCGAACGCCUCGACGGUCUUCUCUCUCUCUUCUGAUGAUGAUGAUGAUGAUCUCUCCAUCUGCUUUCACUCUUUUUUAUUUCUUUGUUUUCGAACAAUUAAGGGACCGGAGUAUCUAUCUUCUUAUAUAGGAUUGAGAGACAUCUGAAACGCUGCCGUUUCGUUUGAGAAAUUUGACUUUAUUUCUCUCGCACCAUAACAUAAAAUAUCAUGAUGAUGAAAGUUGAAUAUUUGAUAUAACUUUUUUUGUCAACUAUAAAAUUAAUAGAAUUUUUUAAAAUUUAAUCUUAUCAGAUAAAGCUUCUUACACGCAACAAACUUAACCUUUUUCAUCAACGUUGUUGUGUAAAACAACAAAUUAAUUCUUAUUAUAAUUUUGACUUUGACAACUAUAUAAAUUGAAAAAUCCCUCCCACCAUUAUAUAUACUUAUCAGACUCCGGAAGGACCUUCCAAACGAAGAUAAUCAUACAUUACACCUGAAAACGAAUCAGUAGUGUUCCGACCAUGAGUAAGAAAUAUCGUAUUAUUACCAACCCUAAGUAACUUCCCAUUAACAUCGAUAUUGUACAAUUUGUACAGCCCAUGAAUCCCAUGCCUGGCGAUCGCGUUAUCCCGGCCUAUUAGCCCAGACAUGAAGAUAGGUUUGGAAUCAGCUUCGUUGACCUGAACCAUUAAAUUAACAGUUGUGGCUGCAGCCAAAGCUAUUCGAAGUGUGUAGUUUCCAGUUUGAGUCACUGCUUUUAAAUUGAACUUAAUUUGCCAUGUCGUUGCUUCAUAUGUCCCGUUUCCAGCUUUCCUAUAUUUUACAAGAAAUAAAUAUAUUAUUUGUAUUGGCAGAUUAACAACAUUUAUUUUGGAUAAUCAAAAUAUAUAUUAUUAAUUACCUGUUGACAUGGGCAUAGAACCAGUCUUUUUUAUAGUCACUCAAUCCAGCAAUAAAAACAAGAUCGUUUCGUGGAUACAAAGCACUGUAACGAUCCCAUAGACCAUAUUGUCUAAAUCUGUAUUAUUACACAUAAAAAUUAAUAAAAGUAGUAAACAAUGUUUGAUGUGUUGCUUAAUUAUGUUAAUUACCUGUCUUGAGGAUUUGAGUGAUUAAAAGAGAGUUUGGUGAAAAGGGCUGGGUCCGGUUCUGGGAUAUAGAACUCUGCGGCGGUUCGGUCCGGUUCUCCAAUCUCCCACAGUGUCUGACCGUUUCUCGGUGGCUCGUACACUAUAGGUCCAAUGUUUAUCUCCUUACCUAUAGGCCAAACCAAACUAUGAGUCCAAUACUUGGGCCUAAUAAGUAUUCUUCAGCUGUGGCCCAUCUUAAACUUAAAAUAUGAUUACAACAGUGUUACCUGGUGUGAUGGUAAUGUCACGCUCGUAUUUAUAGUCACCGAUAAAUCCAGGAACCCAUGCGUAGAGACUAUACGUCCCAGGUCUCACAUUAGCUAUCGUGAACAUCCCCGUUUUGUCUGCUCGUGUCCAAAAUUGAUAUCCCUUUUUCCAGAUUUUGAUUGUAAAGGAUUAUUAAAAAGCGAGAUUGUUGACAUACAUUGAGUAAUAUAUAUAGGUUAGUUUGGUACCUUGUUUUCGGUUUGCCAUGAACCAGCUUCACCAGGUAAUGCUAAUCCCACAAAAGCAAAUUCCUCGAAUAAGUUUGCCUUGAUUUUGUUGUACCUACAAUAAUUUCAUAAUUUCCCGCAUAUCAUUAUUUUUGAAUAUAUAUACUUGCAUAUAAACAAAAACUGAGAAAUAUAUUUAUUUAUUUACCUGUCUUUAACAAAGAGUUGACCUUUAAUUGUUCCUCUUUGGUGAUGAAGAGGGUAAUCUACGGACUUCACGAAAUCAUAAGGCCAGCUUUGGACCUCGGAAACCAUCUAUAUAUACAUACAAUUUGUUUAAGUACGAUGAUAUGGAAUACAAAAACGAAUAAAAUAAUGGGUCACUGAUAUGGUAAUUAACGAGACCUGUCGUUUAGCGUCGGUCCAGAGAAGAUUAUGAGAAGAGGCAGAGUUGAGAUAAACAAAAACAGGACCAAACACCUUCUUCCACGGCUCCUUGCUUGUAUAACUAGUGUUCAUAUCUUUCCCCACGUAGUGUACACUUGUAAACAUCUAAUUAAAGAAAAAACACAAGAUACUUAUGGAAUAAGAAAUGAAACAUAAAUACACGACCACCCACCAAAAUUAAGAGGAUGUAGGCAGUACUUACGGAGAGAGUGGUGGGUCCGAGAUGAGAAGUAAGAUCUUGUUUGACGGGUCCGCAGCCACGGAACUCGUUGCUGGGAGUAAUCAUCCAGAACCCAACACCUUGGUCCGACGAUAUCCAACCGUGUACUUUGUUGUCUUUGUCUUCCAUUGAGUACAUGUACUUAUCGUCUACCUGCAUCACAUCCCCGUAAACCAUUUUCUUACCCUUUGUUACUUUGACUUGAUAACUAUUAUAACUGAUAAAGCUAUAUACUAUAAAUUUCCUGAGGGUAUAACAUUAUUUUUGGAUUAAUUUUUGAUAUACCUGCCCUUUAAGCAUAUGAUUUUGUGGAUUUUUCAAAUGAACAGCUUCUUUGUAAGCCAGUUUACUAGCACGACCACUCCUGAUAUUUCUAUCUGCUUCAAAAGGCAUAAUUUUCUGCCGAUCAUCCGAUAUAGCCAUUACAUCGAAUCUGCAACAUUGUUUUUAUAAUAAAAAUUAUUAUUUUUUCAAUCGUAUAGCAAUAUAAAAAUAUGAUAUAAAUAACAAAGUGCUUACUUUGUUGUGUUAAGCUUGAAGACGAUUCUGGUUUGGUCCAUGAGUACAUCAGGCCAACCUUUCAACCUCUCCAACACAGCGUACAUGUAUACUCCGGACACACCCCUUCGAAUAAUAUACCUUUAAAGGGAACCAUUCUCCAUUGUUGUUAAUCUAUAUAGUUUACUUCUCCAUGAAAGGGAAAAAAAGAGUUAGUAUAACUACGCUUUUAUAUUUUACUUGCAAAUUGACGUACCGUUUGUCUACGUUCAACGGCGCUACUGAGCCCCGUUGAGACACACUCCAUGUUCUCGAAAAUGAAAUUUCGACAUGCUCACUUGUUUGAUUUACUAUAUCGAAUUUUGUUCCUACUAACCUGUUAUUAGACCAUAACAUUAAUAUAAAAUAGAAAAUAUAUGUAUAGUACGUAGCUAGGUACAAUUUUGAAAUAUAUAUAUAAUCAAAAAAAUACGAAGAGAGAUUGGAAUACUCACAAAUCGGUUUCCGGUUGAUGUCCUGGUUCAUACCAUACUACGUCCCAAUACCUUUAUAUAAUAAUGCAUGGUAAUGUUAUAUAAGACGAACUAUAUAUCUUGUUUAUAAUACAUUUCUCGCAUGCUAUAUAUUAACUAAAUAUUAAGAUAGAUCUAUAUAUCAUACCCGCGAUUUUCAAUUUGGUCGUUCAAGAUAUUGUUAAAGCCAUUGUACUUGAUUCCAGUUAUCAAGCCUCGUGGACAUGAGAAGGUAACUUGGAUUAUACCGUUAUCAACGACCACCUUAAACAACAACAAAACAGGCCAUCAUAUAUAACAGUAUCCUUGCAUCGAAACAUUCUAUUUCUAUAUACGUAUAAGAGAAUUCAUAUAACGUUUUAGUAGUAUAACUAAUUAAACCAAAAAUUAAAUUAGACAUUUGGACGACCGUACUUGGUUAGGACCAACUUUCUUGAGCGUAACCGGGGGAGAUGCANNNNNNNNNNNNNNNNNNNNNNNNNNNNNNNNNNNNNNNNNNNNNNNNNNNNNNNNNNNNNNNNNNNNNNNNNNNNNNNNNNNNNNNNNNNNNNNNNNNNNNNNNNNNNNNNNNNNNNNNNNNNNNNNNNNNNNNNNNNNNNNNNNNNNNNNNNNNNNNNNNNNNNNNNNNNNNNNNNNNNNNNNNNNNNNNNNNNNNNNNNNNNNNNNNNNNNNNNNNNNNNNNNNNNNNNNNNNNNNNNNNNNNNNNNNNNNNNNNNNNNNNNNNNNNNNNNNNNNNNNNNNNNNNNNNNNNNNNNNNNNNNNNNNNNNNNNNNNNNNNNNNNNNNNNNNNNNNNNNNNNNNNNNNNNNNNNNNNNNNNNNNNNNNNNNNNNNNNNNNNNNNNNNNNNNNNNNNNNNNNNNNNNNNNNNNNNNNNNNNNNNNNNNNNNNNNNNNNNNNNNNNNNNNNNNNNNNNNNNNNNNNNNNNNNNNNNNNNNNNNNNNNNNNNNNNNNNNNNNNNNNUGAAGAAGAAAGAUCAGAACGAACAGUUUGGUCAUAACCCGAACCGCCUUCAUUACCGGAGCUCCGUAUUCCAUGAUAUCCUUCUCCAAUUCACUAAAACCUUCGACAAAUAAAACAGAAAAUGAAAUUAUUACCCCCAAAAUGAUAUUUUAGACAAAUGGCAAUUAGUAGCAAGGUCAUCAACCUCUUGAUCAGCGAAGUUAGUCUCGUCGAUCUAUACUAAAUCAGUAUGGCUAAUGCCUAAAACUCCUUACACAUAAACUUUCUUGGAUUCUUUUGCAGCUUAAUUUGCUCUCUUCACUGAAGAAAGUUAUAUCUCUCUCGUAAGAUAUUGUUACUUAAACUUUUUGAUUAACCAUUGUUAUUCAUCAAGAUGAUAAUCUCUGAUUAACAAAAUAAGAGAGAUCACAAAUCUUUUUACAACUCAGAUACAAAAUCUUACAAGGAGCUGCUAGCUAGGUGUGUAUCUAUAUUUAUAUUUGUAGCUAAAAAUAAAAUCCCUGUAAUAUUUUUCCUUUUAAUUUUGUGCAAUGGAUCGGGUAAGUUAAGAAACUACAUAUGUGCUCGGUAUCUUUAUUUCCAUUUCUUAAGAAAUUGAAACCUUCAAAUAAUAGGUUAUUCCAUUAAAUAGGUUAUAAUUCUGAAAAAAAAAAAUAUUACUGAGUGUUGAAGGAUAUGAACCUAUUAAAACAUAUUGCUAAUGAUUUAAAUGUUUUGAGUUUAAACCAUUUAAAAUUGAAUCUGAGAGUUUUUAAUAUGUUUCAUCAAAGAAAAGGUACACAAUUUGUUAAAUAAUCAAAUCCAGCAAAUUUGAUAAAUCCAACGGGUUAAUAAACUAUAGUAUUGGCCUCGAUAUAACUCCUAACUCAAUGGGCUUAUGGGCCAUAAGAAAAUAAGGAACUUCUUACUUAAUUGCUUAUUGAAUCAUGGCAAUAAUCCAAUAAUGUUACAUUAGUAUGUGUAUGUUUAACUAAUUAGUCUAUUCGAUAUCAUCAUUUUCAAAUAAAAAUUCGAAAUUUGGACAUCAAGAAAAAAUUAGAUAAAUGCUGUCAAAAAAAAAAACUAGAUUAAUUUAUUAUUUUUUUAGAAAGCAAAAUUAAUAAAAUAAGAGUCUAUAAAGUAGGCAAUUGCAUAACAAAANNNNNNNNNNNNNNNNNNNNNNNNNNNNNNNNNNNNNNNNNNNNNNNNNNNNNNNNNNNNNNNNNNNNNNNNNNNNNNNNNNNNNNNNNNNNNNNNNNNNNNNNNNNNNNNNNNNNNNNNNNNNNNNNNNNNNNNNNNNNNNNNNNNNNNNNNNNNNNNNNNNNNNNNNNNNNNNNNNNNNNNNNNNNNNNNNNNNNNNNNNNNNNNNNNNNNNNNNNNNNNNNNNNNNNNNNNNNNNNNNNNNNNNNNNNNNNNNNNNNNNNNNNNNNNNNNNNCACACAUAUUUAAGUUUAAACAGUUGUUCUAAAGGGGCAUCUAUCAUAACGAAUCAUGGAUAAACUGAUCACUUAAACUAUUUAAUUUGUAUAUGACGAUAACAUUUCUGGCACUCUGAGUAAAUUAAUUGCGAAUUCCUUUUUGAGCUAUACUCAAUUAUGCAACACACUAUCGCUUUAAAUCAUAUAUGCUCUCUUGGAUUACUUUAAUGACAAUGUAAGGAAUCAUUUUUUAAAUAUGAAAUUUUAAGCUCUAGUGAGCUAUGAUGGCAUUUUCAACUAGUGUUACCGUUGAUCUCGACUGCAUUAUUAAUUAUAGUAUUCUAAAGUUUUAAUACCGUUUCCCAAAUGAAUUACGUUGGUUUAGCUAAGAUGCGCGCAACCACAUACAGUAUAGUAUUCAAACCCUUAACCCAAAAUCUAAAACUAAAACAUUAUCGUCAAAUUGUUGACUCUAAUUAUUAAGCGUUUCAAACACAGUAUUAUCAAGGGGUAUUAUCAAACACCGUAACAGUAUGUGUCUCCCUCUCUCGAUGUUCUCAUAUUAAUGAGUCCAAAAACUACAAGAAAGCUAGAUUCUUAUAAGUUACUCCAAUAAGAGGAAACUCAAUAUUAGCAAUUUUGUAAGCCAAACACCAUAGUUCCUCUUUAACAUUUGUAUCUUUGAUAUAGUAUCAAAUCUUGAAAUAAUUGAUUAUUACUUACUAAUAUAAGAGGACUAAUUAACUCAUAAAAAGUAGUAACAAAUUAAAAAUAUUGUAAUGGCCAACAACUUUGGAACAUUUAGUACAAUUUCCACCAGUCAUCAAGUUCCAAGGCUAUCUUUUUAAACUCGACAUAUAAUUGCAAUUAAUUACCAACUAUAAUUAUUACCUUCGGAAACCUGAAAAAGAAGGUUUAAAUUAAAAACUUUUAUGUACCCAAAGAUCAUGUGGGAUUUAGUUUUAAAAACAUCAAAAGCGACAACACCUUAUCCUUUUCUUGGUCUGAUCGAUAACCUAAAUAAGGUUUAUAAUUAUCAUUCACACUACUACUCUGAGUACUCUCUCACGUUAAUUUUAUAACACCAACAAUAAAUAAAAAAUAAUAAAAAAUGAAGAAGCAUAGUUUAUAUAUGUAACCAACACGUAUUUACUUUUUCAAAACAAUUUGUUUUGGCCUAAUGUGUUAAUAUCAUUUCCGACUAUUAAAACUCAUUAACAAACUAAAUAAAUUAGACAAUAACUUUCUUAAUGAUGCUGUAAUAUAUAUACCAUAAACGCGUAUAUGUUCAGAAGUUCAAUCCAAAAUAUAGCAUUUAUUACACCUAAACAAUACUGUCUGAUUUUGUAUAAUGCACUCAAGUGGUGAUAGCUACCAUAACAUGCUUUGUUGGUGUAAAGUUACAAGAAUCACCUGAGAAAAACUGUAUUCAAUAAUACAAAAGUUUCUUUUUGUAGAGAAGAUAAUAUAGAGUGUUAGGAACUUAGGAUUAUAGAUCUCUGUUAUCGAAUGAAACCUAAGUUCUCUUUCGCAAACUAAGCAUGUUCCUAAGAUUAGUUCUUAUAUAUACGGCAACGAAUUGAAAUACAAAGAUCCCUAUUGUUAAAGAGGCUGUAACAAACCAAGGAAACUGUAGAAUUAUUUGCGUAAACUUCAACUUAGAUUGUAGAAUUGUUUUGGAAAACUUUAAACUUGAAAACGUGAAACGUAAAAGAGAGAACCCAUAGAAGUGAAGAUAAUAAUGAUUAUAAUUGGUAAAACCGAAAUGAUUCGCUGAUGAUUGACACCUGGCGUGAAUAGAGACUAAAUCUUUUUAUCUUAAGACAGACGAUAAUUGGGGAUUUGGUCACUUGGACGCACUUUUAAGAUUCUUUUUUUGAUUAAUAAGAAAAAGAGCAAAGUUUGAGUUUGAGUUUGAGUUUGAGUUUGAGUUUGAGAUUCGAGUUGUGAUUGGUUCGAAGCAGUCCACAGCCCACGUGGUAUCUUUUAUUACCCAUGUUAUCUACCUAGACCCCACCUGAAUCUUACAUAUCAACGGUAUAAAUAUCAAAUUUCAUUAGGGUUUGAAUUUCGAUUUAGUUUGAUUUUAAAAGAAAUUUAGCUACAUUUAAACCAAAUUUUGGUUUUAUUUUUUGAUUGGAUCAUAAGAAUAAGUGUGUAUAUCUUAUUAUAUGCUGUUGAUUAGGGCCAAGAGUUUUGUAGAUUGGUAAACUCGGCUAGUCCACUGCGGACAUCGACCUUAUUACUCAUGAAUAUUAUUAACACAACAUACAUUAUUAAUGUUAAUGGUUUAUAUCCAGUUACUAAUAAUAUCGAGUAAUCCUUUUUUUUCUUCUUCCUAAAAGCCUACGAAAAUCAUCAUCGGCAAUAUAUCGAGUAAUUUAGGAUAUUAAUAUUUGUAAAAAUAGUUUUUUUAUAUAUAAAAAAAAUAAUAAAGAUGAGGCGGUUUCUGCGGUGGAGCGUGCGAAGGCAUCCAUCAAUUGGUGUUCUCACUUCUCAGGAGCUGUUCCUGCUUCUCCCACGUGUGCCUGCCACAAAUGCAUCUUGCAUUUUAUAUUUUUUUCACUCGAUGUAAAUUAUAUACAUAAGCUUGAAUGCUUUAUAUAUAUGCAAAUAAAAGCAUAACUUUAACCAUAUCAACUACAAUUUUUUGUAUUUUUCAAGAUUUAUAUUAUCUGGACCUGAUAUAAAAACCAAAUUUCUUACAUAGAACAACACUGAUUAUAUGUUUAAUUCAUAAUCUAUUUUAUUUUUAAAAUUACUGUGUAUUAUUAAGAGUUGUUUUUAUAUAUGAAUCUGGUAUCAGCUAUAUAUAGACACGGUGUUGCUUUGAUUACAAAUUAAGCAAGUAACGUUAUUUGGUAUUAUAUUUCUUGCCAUAUUUGGAAACUUACGACAAAACAAUGUAGUGAAUCUCCGCAACUCCAAGUUCCUGUCUGACACGUGUACUUUAUAUCGUUUUAUAUACACCAAAAAAAAGAGGACUUAUUCUUUUGUAAGAAAUACAUAAUGCCAUAUGGACUAUUUGUACUAUGUAUUUUGUUCGAUCCCUUCUCUUACUUUUUUGGGUAAAUGUCUUAUGUACAGAUCCAUUAUACAUGUUUAGUAUAUUGUUUUCGUAUGACCAUAAUUAAGGUCCAUUAUACUAUAAUUAAAGCUCUAUUUGUAUCACCUACAAAAGAUAAUUAAUUAAGAAAAGCAGCAUAUAAAGCUAGAGGGUUUUGUCAGAGAAACACGGUCCUGUGAUGCGCCCAUUCACUAUUUCCACAUGACAUCUGAAAAAACAAACAAGACUUAAGAUUUAAAUUAUAAAUAUGUACGGACAUGUUAAAAAAGGAAAUAUUAUUGAUAAUGAAAAUUUACCUAACUCACACUAUACGUUUAAUACUCCUUUUUUAUCCAAACAAUUCCAUUAAGUUUCCACUAUCUCCCACAAUAAACUAUAAAAAGAAAUAGUGAUUAAAGUUAUAUACAUAUAUAUAUAUAUAUACGUUUAAGCUAUAUCUAUAUAUGUUCUCUUAACCUAGUACCUUUAUAAGAACUUCUUUCUAUUUCGUUGGUUUGAUAAAAUCACACACAAAUGCUACUUUUGGACUAUAAAUUUAGUACUUUACUAUGUAUUAAAACUACCAAAAUAUGUCUCAUAUUAAGAGGUGAGUGUGUAUAUAUAUAUAUAUAGUUAGUUUAAUCCUCGAAUAGAUUGUUGACUCUUGGCUCAAGCUUCCUCUCUCUCUUUCUAUUUCUACCUUUCUCUUUCUUCUUAUUCGUUCAUCUUCGUCUUCGUUUCCCUUUUGGUCUUGGUAAGAUCUAAAAACAAAACCCUAGAAAAGAGAAGAGCCAGAGGAGAAUCAAAUAGAGGAUAAAAUCGAUGGGAAGAGGGAAGAUUGUGAUCCAAAGGAUCGAUGAUUCAACAAGUAGACAAGUCACUUUCUCCAAACGAAGAAAGGGUCUAAUCAAGAAAGCCAAAGAGCUAGCUAUUCUCUGUGACGCCGAGGUCGGUCUCAUCAUCUUCUCUAGCACCGGAAAGCUCUAUGACUUUGCAAGCUCCAGGUUCUUCUUCUCAAAACGAUUAAUUCUGAAUUUUUUACAUCUUCUUGAUUUCUCGGAUAGCGGAACUGUGUCUGUACGAUAUAUAAUUUUAUGCUAAGGUUUUGUUUAAAAGGCUAUAGGGAUAUUUCAGUGAAAUAUUUGUAACUGUGCGAUCUGUUCAUUUGUAGUAGAAAAAAUUUCGCAUCUGGCGGUCGGUAGAACAUGUUACAUUUUGCCAUAUGUACAAUAAGAUGUGUAUGUAUAGCCGACAACCUAUAUUUUUUACAACAAAGAAAUAUUAUAAUUGACUAGAAGUUUAAAGGAAGAAUGAUUCUUUUGAAGAUGGAAAAAAAGUAAUUCGAGAUAGUUUCUUUGCUUCAUAUCUGCUUGAUUAUUAAGUUUACACUUCGGUAUUUUUUUAAAAAAUACUUUCUUAACAAACAUGUGUUUUGUGUCUUUGCACAUGUAUAUAUAUAUAUGUAUGGAUAUUAACUUAUUGCUAAGGCUCAUUGUUUAGUUUUUCCAAAAUUAGAAUUAAUGAUUCAUAAGUAGAUGACACAAUAGCUGAGUGCGAUCUUGCUCAACCAUCAGUACUGGAAAGCUAAAAAUAAGUUCUUCAGAUAGCACAAUAUUGAAAGAUUGGUAUGGAGAAGGAAUUAAUUUCUCAAAACCAAUAUGCUUAAACAUGAUUUAAUCUAAUCAAAUAACAAAUUAUCUAUUUAUGCUCAUAAACAUUUACAUAUUUUUGAGUUAGAUCCUAUAUAUCAUGACAUAAGGAUCAUAAUUAACUCUGUAAAUUUAAAGCUGUAUAAGUUAACUAUGUAUAUUUAACGCAUAUAAUUAUGUAUAUUUAACAUUGUAUAACUUAACUUUGUAUAUUUAACGUUAUAUAUGCAGGAUUGUUAUUAUUACAUUUCAGUCUAAAGAAUAUAUUAAUUUCUUAUUUUUGAAUUUUUUUGUUAUAGUAUGAUUACAUAUUUAUCAGUGUCAAACAAACAAAUAAAGAGUUCUAUAAUGUGAAACAUCUUUUUCUUGAUAAUUUCCUUCAUUAUUUAGUGAAGAAUAGUACAAUACUUCUUAUGUGAGGGAUUUUUCAACCUUGGCGAGCAUUGUUAAGUCUGCAUUUUUCAUCUUCUUUAACCAUUAUCCCCAUAUAUAUCAUAAAGUUCAUGAAUGAUGGAACUUAGCAUAGUUUUGAGUUUACCAUUCUUGAAACUUACACACAGCCAGGAUAUAUAUGCCUUGACACGUUAUUGUUUCUUGGAAUUAGUAUAGUAAGUGUGCCAUAUAUGUUGAUGCAUUACAUUUAUGACCGAGCCUUAUUAUUAGUUUCUUUGUUGUUUCUGUAAUUUCUUUCUAUCUCACAUAACUGGAUCGUUUUAAAGCUCUUGGUUAAUUAUCUCAAAACAAUUUUUUAAAGCAAUUUUUCUUGUUUAUUGAUAAUGGAACAUCUAUAUAGUUUCUUUAGUUCUUAUAACAAGUAUGUGAGUAACAAAAUCAUAUUACUGAGUGAAAGUUUAAUUAUAUGUUCUGUGGAAUGUGUAUGUGUACUUAAUUAUAUACAAGUCUGUGUGUAAAUACCUUAUAUCUUGCCACUACAAAGACUGAAAAGUCUAUAGCACAUAAUUGUAUGAAACUUCAAGGCUAUGUGUUUUUUCUUUACGUAUAUCUGAAAGCUUUUUAGUGGAGGAGUCGAAUUAUAAACUUCAUAGGAAAUAUCUUAUAUACUCUUUAGUGUGAUAGAUGAUAUGAUUUGGGUGAAUCAUAUAUAUACCAUGAACAAGGUACUAAUAUAAAAUCUUUUAAAAUAGCAUGAAGUCAAUUAUUGAUAGAUAUAACAAGAGCAAGAUCGAGCAACAACAAUUAUUGAACCCAGCAUCAGAAGUCAAGGUAUAAAUAUAUUGACAAAUAUGCAAAUAUAUACAAAUUAUGCAUAUACAUGUAUUGAAAUGAGAUUUGAUUUACUGAGUUCUAAGUUUGAUAAGUUAUUUGUGUUGUGUGUUAUAGUUUUGGCAGCGAGAAGCUGCUGUUCUUAGGCAAGAAUUGCAUGCUUUGCAAGAAAAUCAUCGGUAUUGCCUUGGACUUUUGUAACAUAUAUAUUAGAUAUAAUCUCUGAUCAACAUAAAUAGAUGGAAAGGCAAGUACAAGGAAAGGGAAAUGAAGAAACUUGUGCUUAUAGAUUGUGUUUGGUACGGAGCAGGCAAAUGAUGGGAGAACAACUAAAUGGUUUAAGUGUUAACGAGCUAAACAGUCUUGAGAAUCAACUUGAGAUAAGUUUGCAUGGAAUUCGUAUGAAAAAGGUACAUAAACACAUAUACUCUCUACCUUGUAUUAUAUGCUCUGGAGUGUAUAUUGCUCAAAAGAUUGACAACAGAACACAAUGGAAUUCAAUAGAACCGAUUGCUUUUUCGGAUUCACAGGAACAAAUGUUGACUCAAGAAAUCCAAGAACUAAGCAAAAAGGUACACAAUGAGAUAUAUGCAAACACCUAAUUUAUAUCUCUUACCCCUAUAUGUAAACUCCCCAAAAGAACACAAUUAAUUAGUUACAAAUCUGAAUUACUAUAUAUGGGAUUUUCUUUGAUUGUGUGGUGCAGAGGAAUCUUUAUUCAUCAGGAAAACCUAGAUUUGUCUAGGAAAGUACAACGGAUUCAUCAAGAAAAUGUUGAGCUCUACAAGAAGGUGACAAACAUGUUCAUAUAUAUACAAAAGUCCAUGUGCUUAGAAUAAGAGCUUUGAAGUGAUGGCCUUCAACGUUUCAGGCUUACGCUGCAAGCACAAACGGGUUUAUACAUCGUGAACGAGCAGCUGUCACUGUCACGGAUGAUGAAUCAUCACAGACUCAGAUUCGGCUGCAACUAAGCCAACCCGAGCAUUCCGAUUACGAGACCCCGCCAAGAGCAAGCGAAUAACAUUAAGGUAGAAUUUAUAUUAAUUUGAUCUUUGACGACGUUACACAAAAGCCCUCUAUGCAUUUUUAUAUUAUGUAACACUCGUUUAAAGUUUUUCAGAGAUUGAAGUUCGAAGAUACUGUGAUGUUGAAGACCAAAUCCAAAGACUAGGUUUGAAUAAGGGUACUGAACUGGAAGCCCAAUAAAACCAAGCCACAUGAUAAGCAGCAUGGUUCUUCUAUCAUCAAUUAAUCAUGUUUUUCUUUCUUUGUGCAUUUCAAUUUGAAAUAUAUAUAUAUAUAUAUAUAUAUAAGUAAAAGCAUAUAUAAUUAAAAUCCGGUGUUUAAUUUGUUAUAUACUCAUCUUGAGUAUUAUUAUUGCCUUUGUUUAGAAUCAUAGACUCGUUAAUCAAAAAACAUAAACAAAAGUAGUAAAUAUGUUUAUGUUUCUAAUUACCCUAGUUUAGACAAUUAUAUGUCAUACUUUCUAUUUUAAACCGGUUUGGAAACUACGUAUUAGGGGUGACCAAAUCGGUUAUUGUUGACCAGAAACCAUAAAGGUUGAGUCUUUAAUAAAGGAAACACAAAUCAUCAUCAUCGUCACCAAAUCAUCAUCACAAUUCACAAUUCACAAAGGUUGGUGGUGGAGAGUAUCCCACUGAGACAGUGACCUGAGAUAACGACAAAGAAACAACAACAAAAAAAUAAAAAUAAAAAUUUCCAUUUUUUUUUCGUAAAAAAGAGGGAAAAAUUCGAAAAUUGCUGCAGCCACCAAAAGCUCAGCCAAAAGCAGAGGCCACAAUCCUAUCUUCACCUCUCCUUGAGGAUAAACCCAAUUUUGGGGUUUUUUUUGUUUCUUCUUUCGUCUAGGAUUCAAAUCAUCUGUUUCUAGGGUUCCAAACCAGAGAGAGAGAGGUUUAGGAAAAAUGGCUAUGGCGAUGGCUCUUCGGAGGCUUUCUUCUUCAAUUGACAAACCUAUUCGUCCUCUUGUUAGGUCCACUUCAUGCUUCAUGGUAAUAACCCCAAAGUUUCCUCCUUUCAUCGGAUUGGAAAUUUUCGAUUUUUUUUUUUUGGGCCUCUGAUUUGUUGUUGUUUUGUUUGCAGUCUUCUUUGCCCAGUGAAGCUGUUGAUGAGAAGGAGCGAUCUCGUGUCACUGUGAGCUUUAACAAAAUCCAAUCUUUUUAUUUGUCUCUUGGUGGUUUUAUAGUUUUACUUGUAGUUGAAGCAAUGGUUUUGAUUGUUGAAGUUCUGUGUCUAUGUUUCAAAUUGCGGGUUUGAAUCUUUUAAACAUAUUUUGUCUGUAUACGUUCGUUGCAGUGGCCAAAACAGCUUAACGCAUCUCUAGAGGAGGUUGAUCCUGAGAUUGCUGACAUUAUUGAGCAUGAGAAAGCUAGGCAAUGGAAGGUUUAUUAUUAGUCUCUCUUUACUUACUACUCUGUAUCUGAGAUUUUAGAUUAAUCCCAUCUUAAAUCUUGUUCCUUGAUUCGUUAUUGUGAGUUGGGCUGAUCUCUUUUAAUGCUUAUCUUAUCAAGGGACUUGAACUUAUUCCAUCUGAGAACUUCACAUCUGUGUCAGUGAUGCAAGCUGUUGGGUCUGUGAUGACUAACAAAUACAGUGAAGGGUAUCCUGGUGCGAGAUACUAUGGAGGAAAUGAGUAUGUUCAGGAAUUUUCAGUCUUUCAUUUUGACACUGAUACUUAUUACAGUUUCAGAUCUUAGACAUGAUGCUUGACCAAUCUAUGUAAUAACAAUUGAAAUCUCAUGUACCUUUUGGUUUUGUAGGUACAUAGACAUGGCAGAAACCUUAUGCCAGAAGCGCGCUCUUGAAGCUUUCCGUUUGGAUCCUGAAAAGUGGGGAGGUAAUUACUCAUUCCAAGUAUAUGAGAAACAAGAAAUCUGAAUUUUGUAGAACUAGUUCUUAUGCAUUUUCCCGGUAAAUGAUCUGAAUUCCAAUGGAAUGUGAUUGCUUUAUUAAUCCUUUGAUGGCUUAUUCCUGUCUUGUCGUUACAGUGAAUGUGCAACCAUUGUCUGGAUCUCCUGCCAAUUUCCAUGUCUACACUGCAUUGUUAAAGCCUCAUGAGAGAAUCAUGGCACUUGAUCUUCCUCAUGGUGGUCAUCUUUCUCAUGGUUACCAGGUAC